RNAcentral lists this transfer RNA (74 nucleotides) under Marmota monax (woodchuck). Its description in RNAcentral is "tRNA.Val". The stretch from base 11 to 67 matches the Rfam family "tRNA", at positions 9 to 63 of the family's 71-position model. From Rfam's summary of the family: Transfer RNA (tRNA) molecules are approximately 80 nucleotides in length. Their secondary structure includes four short double-helical elements and three loops (D, anti-codon, and T loops). Further hydrogen bonds mediate the characteristic L-shaped molecular structure. tRNAs have two regions of fundamental functional importance: the anti-codon, which is responsible for specific mRNA codon recognition, and the 3' end, to which the tRNAs corresponding amino acid is attached (by aminoacyl-tRNA synthetases). tRNAs cope with the degeneracy of the genetic code in two manners: having more than one tRNA (with a specific anti-codon) for a particular amino acid; and 'wobble' base-pairing, i.e. permitting non-standard base-pairing at the 3rd anti-codon position. The record is from RNAcentral. Lineage: Eukaryota; Metazoa; Chordata; Mammalia; Rodentia; Sciuridae.
CUGGGGAUACAGCUCAGUUGGCAGAGUGCUUGCCUCACAUGCAUGAGGCCCUGGGUUCAAUCCCCAGCACUACA